UUCUUUCCCCUCUGACAUCUGUAAGGGUGAACGACGAUGAGAACCACCACUUACUGUGUUAGGGGAUUAUGACGUGCAGCAGCCAUGGCCAGGAAAGCACUCCAUACCCUGAGACUUCCUUUCCUUGCACUUCUCUCCUAUUAAUAUCUAAAAUAAUCCCUCACGUUAGCACAUAAUGAAAGCAGUCUCUCACUCGGCUAUUGCAUCUUCAGAUCUUCCCUUUUCCCUCGGGAGUCCUCAGCCUUCUCUUUCAGAUAACUUCAAGUGAUGGGGCCUGAAUGCAAGCAGACCAACGAGAGGAGCCCAGGCAUUUGGAAGUAGCAAUCAAGACUAGCAUGGGGGCCAGGUGCGGUGGCUCACGCCCGCAAUCCCAACACUUUGGGAGGCCGAGCCAGGCGGAUCACCUGUGGUUGGGAGUUUGAGACCAGCCUGGCCAACAUGUGAAACCUCGUCUCUACUAAAAAUACAAAAAUUAGCAGGGCAUGGUAGUACACGUCUAUAAUCCCACCUACUCGGGAGGUUGGAGCACAAGUAUCACUUGAACCUGGGAGGCGGUGGUUCCGGUGAGCGAAGAUCACUGAUUUUUCAUCAGUGUGUUUGAUCUCCUCCAUGCAAAUAUAGGAUUCUUUAUAGUCAUCUUCAUGUCUUGUUCAUUUCUCUUCCCCAGCAGCCAAGGCAGUACCUGGCACUUACAACCAAAUGCACUCUAGCCUGGUUGACAGAGCAAGACUCUGUCUCAAAAAAACAAACAAACAAACAAACUAGCAUGGAGAGGGACACAAGAGAGAAAUGUUUAUGGUCCUUGCCUUACCCUAAAUUACUGUGCAACCUUUUGGCAAGUCACUUCCUCUGUAUUCUGAGUUUCUUUAUCUAUUCAAUUGGGUUCUUAGAUUUGGUGGUGUCUAACGCUCUCCCAGUUUUUCAGUUUGAUGUUACAUUCUACCCAGUGACCAAAUUCAUAUUCCAGAAGCCUAGUAUGCUAUGUCAUACCGCAGAUCUUGUAAACGUUCCUGAUAUGGUUUGGCUGUGUCCCCACCCAGAUCUCAUCUUGAAUUGCAGUUCCCAUAAUCCACACAUGUCACGGGAGGGACCAGGUGGAGCUAAUUGAACCAUGGGGGCGAUUUCCCCCCUCCUGUUCUUGUGAUAGUGAGUUAGUUCUCAUGAGAUCUGAUGGUUUUAUAAGGGUCUCUCCCCUUCACUGGGCACUCAUUCUUCUGCCUCCUGUUGCCACAUGAAGAAGGACAUGUUUGCUUCCCCUUCUGCCAUGAUUGUAAGUUUCCUGAGGCCUCCCAGCCAUGCUGAACUGAGAGUCAAUUAAACUUUUUUCCUUUAUAAAUUU
This is a long non-coding RNA of Gorilla gorilla gorilla (western lowland gorilla), 1339 nucleotides long. RefSeq lists it as uncharacterized. Lineage: Eukaryota; Metazoa; Chordata; Mammalia; Primates; Hominidae. The record is from RefSeq and is a predicted model, not a curated record. The transcript has 2 exons.